Molecule: long non-coding RNA, 1430 nt
Organism: Oncorhynchus gorbuscha (pink salmon)
Lineage: Eukaryota; Metazoa; Chordata; Actinopteri; Salmoniformes; Salmonidae
Exons: 4
Source: RefSeq, a predicted model, not a curated record
AUCCACAGGAGGAAGUGAUAGAGGUCAGUAGAGAGCAGAACUCACUCUGUCCAUCAUUACAGGAGAUCCACAGGAGGAAGUGAUAGAGGUCAGUAGAGAGCAGAACUCACUCUGUCCAUCAUUACAGGAGAUCCACAGGAGGAAGUGAUAGAGGUCAGUAGAGAGCAGAACUCACUCUGUCCAUCAUUACAGGAGAUCCACAGGAGGAAGUGAUAGAGGUCAGUAGAGAGCAGAACUCACUCUGUCCAUCAUUACAGGAGAUCCACAGGAGGAAGUGAUAGAGGUCAGUAGAGAGCAGAACUCACUCUGUCCAUCAUUACAGGAGAUCCACAGGAGGAAGUGAUAGAGGUCAGUAGAGAGCAGAACUCACUCUGUCCAUCAUUACAGGAGAUCCACAGGAGGAAGUGAUAGAGGUCAGUAGAGAGCAGAACUCACUCUGUCCAUCAUUACAGGAGAUCCACAGGAGGAAGUGAUAGAGGUCAGUAGAGAGCAGAACUCACUCUGUCCAUCAUUACAGGAGAUCCACAGGAGGAAGUGAUAGAGGUCAGUAGAGAGCAGAACUCACUCUGUCCAUCAUUACAGGAGAUCCACAGGAGGAAGUGAUGCCACAGCAGACACACAGAGUGUCCGUCCUGACUGUAACAGUGACACGUACACAGCUCUGAACAUGAGGACCUUGUCCCCUGACUAUGACACUCUGGCAAGUGUCCAUCCUGAUCCUAACAGUGACACGUACACAGCUCUGAACAUGAAGACCAGGUCACCAGAGUAUGACACCCUGGCAAAUGUGAGGGGAAUCUCCCACUGAAGAGAAGCAACACAGAACCUGGACUGAAGAGAACCACCAACAUUGAACCUGGACUGAAAAUUAUCACCACACAACCUGGACUGAAGGUUCCAAUACAAAACGAGGCCUUACACCUCUAUUCUAUUGCUGCCAUAUCUAGAAGUUUUUACACACCAUGAACUUUAACUUUUCAGUAAAUACUGGAAUAUAUAUUUUGGAAUGGAAUAUAUUGAUGAUAAAUGAGAUGGGUUAUAUUUUUUUAUGUAAAUAGCCACAUUUUCUUGUGUACCAAUCUGUUAACUAUCUUUAGUUUUAUUUCUGAUCUUUUUCUAUGGGAUUUUGUCAUAUACAGAUGUUUUAUAGCAUCAAUAGUCCUACUUUCCUCAGCAACUAAUGUGGAUCAUAUUGAAAACAGCUUUUUAAUAUUUUUAGCUCUUGGGUCAAGUUUCUCCAGAUGUGUUUCAUGAUGAUUGACUUUGUAUUGCUGUCAGAUAUUAUUACUCAUUUUAUAUUACGUAAUACAAUAUUGUUCCGUGUCAUGAUAUUUUUUUUAUUUUAAAAUAAAUGUAAUCACUCCGUUAUUAUAAUUUCCAACAUUUUGGUAGGCUAUUUGUUAGUCAACUUGUCUAUCAUUUCUAAAUAC